UUGGAUUUAGUAUCAGAUUUCAUUUAUGUGUUUCAAAGGGUAAUCGAUUUGAUACUUAUAUUUGGGAUCCUACUGCAAAGCAUACUAAUUUGGAAAUAAAAUAUAAAAUGCCGUGAUUAAUCUUGUCCAUAAAAUAUGCAGGGGAAGACUGCAGAGAUUGGAUACAUACUUUCAUUUACAACUUAAUUUUGUUGAUUUUCAGCUUACAUUCCCUCAAUUGAAGGAGUUAAAGCUAUCUAGAUUACACAAAGUGCAGCAUCUCUGGAAGGAAAAUGACGAAUCCAACAAAGCGUUUGCAAACUUGAAAAGUCUAGAAAUAUUUGAAUGUAGUAAGUUACAGAAAUUAGUACCAGCUUCGUGGCAUUUGGAAAAUCUUGAGGCUUUGAAAGUAUCGAAGUGUCACAGGUUGAUAAAUUUGUUGACGCUCUCAACAUCUAGAAGUCUGAUAAUUCUUCAAAGUAUGACGAUAGCUGAUUGCAAAAGGAUAGAAGAAAUCAUACAGUCGCCGGUUGCAGAAGAAGCGAAAGAUUGCAUUGUUUUCAAGGAAUUAAAGUACUUGGGACUUGAUUGUUUGCCAAGCCUAACAAGCUUUUGUUUAGGUAAUUACGCUCUUGAAUUCCCGUCCUUGAAACAAGUAGUUGUGAGAGAGUGUCCAAAAAUGAUGAUCUUCUCUCAAGGAGUCUUAGACACACCAAUGCUAAACAAAGUGAACGUCACCGAAGAAGAAAAAGAUGAUGAUGAUGAAGGAUGUUGGGAAGGCAACCUCAAUGACACCAUAAAAAAAUUGUUCAAUGAAAUGGUGAGUAUCAAUUAAGUUUUGGUGCUAUUUAGAAAAUUAUUUUAUAGAAACUAAUGUAAUAUAAUAUGAUUGGUUGACUGAAAAUAUAUAAUAAUAAAUAAAUAAAUAAAUUAUGAGGGCUAUGUAAUGUUUUUGUUUAACCAAUCAUAUUAUGUCGCAUUAGUUUAUACAAUAUUGUUUGUGUACAAGAGUUGUAAUGUAUGCUUGCUUACACGAGUAAUUACAAAAUGUGCAUAAUUCUAAAGAAAAGAUUGAGCCAACCCUUCAGGUACAGUGAAGAAGCUAUCUCGAACCAGGCCAAUCUCGUGUACAUGAUUCAACUUGCUCGUUCUCCUGUACUUGAAUAAUUUGGUUCUAAACGCAUUUACAACUUUUUUGUCAUGCUAUAGACAUGCAAGACACUUUGGAUUUGUUUGAUGCAUUCUUUGUUUAAGGAAGGACUUGAAUUGAUGUUUCAUGUUUCAUGCAAUUUUCAAUUAGAUACUGUUUAAACUUCUGCAUUAUUCAUUCAAUCGGUGUUUUAAGCAUUUGAUUUCUAACUAGUCCUGAUAGAAGAUCAUUAGCUGAAGAAAACAUCAUAACAUUUGUGGCAUUAUCAGAAUAAGAAUAGUUUUAUGAGUAUAGUAAAAUUAACUAGACCAUUAUUAAAAGGAAUUAAUCCGUCAACUUUAAGUAAACUUUAGAUGAUGGUUCUGACCUAAACCAUUUUAAUGCUUGGCAAAAUCACAUCCUGAGCAUAGAGUAAAGAAAGUGGCAUACAUGGUAAUCAACUUCAAGAAGCUCUUCGAAAUGCAUAAUACUGUUGGGGAGAAAAGAAAAAGAAAGAAUACAAAUAAAAAGAAGUCACACAUCAUCAGCAGUUUUUCGGGAACACAAAAAUGUUAUAAUAACUUUUCUUGAUUGCCACCCACAUGCUAAACUGAUCAAAUACAAAACAGGAUACAGAAAAUCUCUAACCUUUUUGGCACUGAAGAAGACGCCAGUGCUUUCAAAAGAAAAUGCUUGAUUGUUGGCAUUCUGGUUUGAAAAAUAUGAGUCCAAUUCCUGUGUCCAGUCAUGUACCAAAUCAGGACGACGUGCAAGUCAUACAAAGAUGACAAAAAUACAGUAUAAAUUGCGUCAAACCAAUUCAAGUCAAUUGGAGAAGUAAAUCAAGGACCAUUUGCAAUAGUUGUUCUCCACAUCAAAUUUGGGUGUCCAUCGUCUUCAUCCUCUUGUGCACUGAACCUGAGAGUCCACGAGAAAUACAUAUAAAAAUUAGGCAUGAUUGAAAUUGAUAGUAGUACAAAAUGGAUAUAAACAUCACGAUGAACAAAUUAAAUUGUUCCCUGUCAGACAAAUCCAACCUGCAAGCUUAAGCUCUUAAGCUAGACCAAAUCACACUGCAAAUAACAAGACAUAAGGCCAAAAAAAGAUAAUAUGUAUCAUUCAUAUGCUUCGCCCUAUAGAAAUGAUUUGGGCCAUAGGUCAAUUAUGUUAAAAGCAGCGAUACUAAACCCAAAAGAAGAGAGGUGAGGCGAGGGAGUGGUGGGUUUUUUUUUUUUUUUUUUCAUUUAUAUAUUUUUACCUUAAACCAAAUGACCGGUUUUACAGGUUUCUGGUUGUUUCAAAUUUUUUUAUUGCUUAAUAAUGAAACAAAUCUCAGCCAUUAGAUCACUCCAUUUAAUCCAAUGGUCAGUUUUUGUGCAUGUAUCAGAUGCACGCAUGUAUUGUAGCCGCCCCAUUUUCCUUUUUAGUUGCAAAACCUCGUUCGAAAGCAACAAUGACUUUCACUCAAAGUAAAUGAGAAAUUACAAUGAAAAUGGGAUCAGAAAAAGGUUGAGGUGAAAUAAAACCAAAGGGAUGAUGUUUCUGCUUUCCAGCUUUGGGAAACGGCGUGGAUGGAGCACGUUCAAUACGAAAAACUUCAUUAGCUCACGCGCUGCUCAGCUGAUUCUUAACAGAAAAUGAUUUAGUGGAAACGGCGUGGAUGGAGCACGUUUAACAUAUCAGUUUAAGUAACCACGUGAGAAAGCAUGUGAUGAAGGUUGUUCCGAGUUCGUUGAAGGUUGUUAACCACGUGUCAAAACAAAGUGUUCAUACUGGAAAGAAACAAAAUAUUAAUAAAUAAACCAUUAAAAAGAUUAUCUGAAAAUUAUGUUUAACUAGGCCAAUUCAAUUAUCGAGCAGUUUGAUAUAUUAAAUGAGCUAGAACAGUAGCCUUUUAAUUAUUUCACUUACUAUUAUCGAACAGUUUUAUAUCAUUCCCUAUCUUAUAGUAAAGGUAAAAGAACAGAAAAGGUAUAUUGCAUUAGAGUUCGUGUACUUCUACCUUUUAGUUUAUUCUUCAUUUUAUUAAAAUGACAGAUUCCUCAUUAAAAAAGGUCACUCUACAUAGUAUGUGGGUGUAUGUUCUUUUAAAAAGGACUGAGAGAAAAAUAAAUGUGAAAAACAAGUAACAUCUGAAGAAGAAAGUGAUGCUGACACAUUAACGACCACUUGAUUUUGUAGGGACUGCACAUAAUUGAUAAUUUCAUCCAACAUGAGACCUUUCCAAUUACCUAAUUUUAUACCAAACAACAUGAAGUUUAUAAGAAAUAUUAAAAACACAAAAACUCGUUAUUUGUUUUAAGACAGGAAAAAGUGAAUAAAAAACAAUAACAAAAAAAAGAACUCAAAUUACUUAAUUACCAUAGCUAUGAACAAGUUUUUGCAAAAUUUUCAUCCUCUCACUAACUUUCUCUCUUCUUACCUAAAACCAAAUAAUGACAAGACAACUGCCCAUUAGACUAUGACAAAAGUUGGAAAUUAAAAUAAUAUAGUAGGUUAUUUUGGAUAAAAUUAGAAAAAGAAAGUUUGAAUUUGUAUUAAUAUACUCACCCUUUCUGUUAACCCCUAUUUGAAGGGCCGAAAGAGUAGUAACAGUAGCAAAAAAUUCAAAUAAUAGAAAUCAGAGUGCCCACUACAUAUAAAUGGAUCUAAAGAAUAGAUUAUAUAAUAGCUUGUUUCUUAUGAAUGAUACAUGUGAUUCCACAGAUAAAAAGAAAAUAAAAAUCAAGUAUGUGAAUUAAAAAAAACACCUAACCAAUAGGGGUUAGUGAGAUAUUUUAGCUAAAUAUCAGUUGACAGAAUCUGACCCACAAUAAAAAUUGCUAUCUUUUCACAAUGGGAAUCUGAAUUAUAAAAUUACUGAACAAAACUUUUAACACCUACAAGUCCAAAUAACAUCAAAUAAAAUGCCUAACCAGCUGUUAAAUAUAAAAUGUCCAUGUAGGACUAAAGCCCUGUGGCUAAUCCUUCAAAGUUCCAAGCAACAAUAUGAUAAAAACAUAAUGCAUAAUAUAUAAGGAGCUUAUCUGUAAAACUUCCAUACAAUACUUAUCAUAUUAAACAAUGUACAUAAUGAAAUAUUGGCUUAUUUCUACAGAAUAUUACGAUCUAAGUACACCAAUUUCUCAAGCAAUGCCAUAUAGAAAGAUACCGAAGAAAAAAGGAAAAUAAAAAAUCGAAGUAUGUUAGUUAUGAUUUCAACUUUUGAACUAAAAGUCUGUGACAAAUUUUGCUUCGGGAAAUACUAACAAACACUUGAGAAAAACUAAAGUGUAUCACACUUGAACCGUAUAUAAAGCACAAGAAUAAAAACAACAAGGGGCAAAAAGAGGCUAGAUGUAUCAUCUUCAUUAGUUAAACAACAUAAAUAGAAUCAAAAUAUUAAUGCAUACACCAAAACCUUCAAAAUUCUCUAAACAUUCAAUUUUUUUCAGAGUAAGAAAAUAAAUUUAUAAGAAAUCGAGAAUGCGUAUUUGUUGCGGUAUUUUAUCAAGCAAUUAGCAUGCAGCAAUGUAAAUGACAAUUAAAACAUGUAAAUCUCUGUACUUUGAAAGCUCACCUUCGUUAUUCAUCCAAAGAGAAUAUAUAGGGCAUGUAAGCUCCUUCUUUGAUAUUUAUCCCUAUCGUUCAAUUAUUUUGUUUUCAUCAAAUUCCGUUAGCUCAAGUGGAGACAAAGCAAUACAAAUGGUGCAUUUAGAAGGUACAACUUUAGAAACCGAAUUUGUGCUUGCAACAUAGGAGAAACAGGGGCUCUCCUUCCAUUUUCCUGGUUUUGUGUUUGGUGAUUUUAAAAUUUUAUAUCUAUAUUUACGAAAAAAGAAAAGAAGUUUUCAAAACUAUUUUUUUUAUACAAGUUCUGUGUCAACUCAAAAAUUGCUCAUGACCAAAAAACAUCUAUGGUUCUUCAGUUACUCAAAAAUUCCUCGUUUUUGAGUUACUUUUUUUUUUUUUUUUAAUUUUUAUUCUCAAGUAAUUUUAUCAUGGAAUUGUUAAUUUUUAUUGAAUGUUGAACAAGCCUUUAUUUCUUUUCUUUCCCUUUUAAUGAAAUUAAAUAAAUGGUGGGGAUAUACCCUACAAAUUAUUGUCUCCACCCCAUAUUUAGUAUUGCUUUUACCACAUGAAAAAUUAAUUUUAUACGAUAAAUUUAUUUACUUGAAUAUUAAACCAUAUCAUGAACCAAUUGACAGGUUGAAGAAUUAACUUUCAAGUUUCAACAUUAUAAGAUUAAUAAAUAGCAUAAACAAAUUUUUAUUUUCAUUUAAAUUAAUCUAAUCCUACCAACUUCAUUUGGAUUUCAUAGUUGUUGGUUUCAUGUAUCACACGAAUUGUUAGGCACCAACUAACACAAGUAUAUGUUACUCAAGCAUCUCACUUGAAUAAUAGUCUAAGGAACUUUGAUUCGGAUGGUAGAUAUUUAACUAACUAAAACUAACAUUCUUAACUCAAAGCUCAUUUACUAGUAAAAGUAGAACCUUCUCCGUCAGCUUAUCUUGUUCAUUAUAUAACAAAAGAUAUUUAGUGAAAAAAAAAAAUUGGAGGGGGGGGGGGGAGGGGGAGACUAUGAUAAUAAUUAUGUUCAAGAUCUAGCCGCUAGGGAUAGAUUUGGCUAUGACUAUUUGUUGAUCCAGUAAUUAAUUUGAACAAUAUUGUUAAUUUUAGUUGAAACUGGAAUGAAUUUUGUGAAAGAUGCUUUCUCAUAACUAACCAACUAAAACUAACAAUCAAAUUAUCAAAAUCAGAGCUCAACUACUAGUAAAACUAUAAAAGUAAAACACUUGCUUCUCCAUCAAGUCAUCUCUUUAUAUAUAACAAAGAAUGUUUUAUGAAAGAUGGCAAAAGCAGUCAAUAACAAUUAAGUCUCAAAUAAUUCAUAAAAGAUGUCAAGCUCUGUUGCGAAUGCUGCUGAGGCUGAGAUUUGGAUUGUCCCAUUCUUCGGUAAGGGACAUAUGUUUCCAUGCAUUGAAUUAUGCAAGCAAAUCACUUCUCGUAAUUACAAAUCUACCCUCAUUAUUCCCUCUCACGUUUCCGCCACCAGCAUCACCCCUUCUUUUGUUCACCAAUACCCUCUAUUUGAAAUUACUGAAAUACCCUCCUCAUCUCCACUACUACCAUCGCCUCCUUCUUACCUCCAUGUUGUCAUGCACAACCAAAUGCUUCAGGGUCUUCGAAACCUCCUUUCAACCCGGAACCCGAAAGCCGACCUGUUUGCGUAGUCAUCGGCGUUAUGAUGGGCUGGACGGCUGAUGUUUUCAAGAAUUUUGAAGUUCCCAUUGUUGGGUUCUUCACUUCUGAUGCUUGCUCAGCAGCUGUGGAGUGUGCCAUGUGGCAGGCUCGCAUCCAGGAUGUCAAACCGGGAGAGGCCCAUUUACUUCUUGGGUUACCCAAGGAUGUUGCUUUAUUCCAAUCAGAUCUUAAACGCAGGCCUCACGGGUCCCUUCCUGGUGGCCCACAACCUUUGUGAGGUGCACCCGGUUCAGAGAAAAUAGGUCCAUCAGAACCGAGUGAUCAACCACACUGGAUGAAGCAAGUGGAGGGAUCGAUGGUGUUGAUGCUAGUGUGGGGAGUGGGCCCAUUGUUACCUGAACAAUUUUACAAAUCGACCGGUUCAGUGCUUCGUGAUUGUGAGAUGAGAACCAACCGGCGGAGUUCUAACAUGACCAAAGAUGAGAUCAUUCAAUGGUUAGAUUUGAAAUCAUGUGGAUCAGUGUUAUACAUGUCAUUUGGUACCGAAAUGGGUCCCACCUUAAAUGAUUAUUCAACAUUAGCCAAUGAUUUAGAAGCAUCAAAUCCACCGAUUAUUUAGGUAAUUCAAACUGAUGUAAAUAGAUUGGAUCCUCCACGUCAUUUAACCAGCUUAUUUUCAUAGUGGUUUAGAUAGUAAAGCCGGUAAAAAGGGUUUGAUAAUAGAUGGAAUGGCACCACAAUUAUUGAUGCCGAGUUAUCAAUUAAUAGGUGGAUUUUUAUCUCACUGUGGAUAAAAUUCAACUGUAGAAGCAAUUGGCUGUGGGGUCUCAAUUUUAGCAUGGGCAAUUAGAGGUGAUCAACGUUACAAUGCCAAAUUGGUGAUCAAUCAUCUCAAGGUGGGGUGCAUGAUCUCUGAUGAUCAGUCGAAAUUGACUUAAAAGGAUGAUAUAGUGAGUGGUAUAGAAAAGCUUAUGAGUAGGGUUGGGCAAAAUAUCCGACCCGAUCCGAUCCGAUCUGACCCAAAAAAUAUCGGGUUCAGAUCGGAUCGGAUUGUUAACAAAAUCCAAUCGGAUGUAACUUUGCCAACCCGAUCGGAUCAUGAUCGGAUCGGAUGAAACCCGAUCCGAUCCGAAAACCCGAUCGGGUUGGCUUAAAAAAAAAACUGUGUAACAAACUAACAAAGUGGCAAACACAACAAAAUCGGAUUCACACCACACAAAAAGCAAAUCUUAGAUCUAAAUUAAAAUAAUCUGUAAGUGCACACACACACACUCACAUCACACACGGUCACACACAAAUAGAGGUUUGGCCUCGGAGAUCGGAAAUGUUGAGAUGCCAAACAACGAAGCAGCAGCCAACAGAUUGGAGAUACAACCGCAAGAAGCAGCAACCAGCAGACCGGAGAUGCGGCCGCGCGAAGCCGCGAACCAGCAGCCAGCAAUCACCGACGUGAUCGUGCGAAGCCAAACCAUCGGAGAUCGGAGAUGUCAGCGAAGCAGCGGUGAGCAGAUCGGAGAUGCAACCGCAAGAAGCAGCAGCCAGCAAAUCGGAGAUGCAACUGCGUGAACCAGCAGCCAUCAGUCACCGACGCGAUCGUUCAAAGCUAAGCCAUCGCUGCAACCGCAACGUGCCGAUGGAAUCUACUACACCUCGACUGCUACCGCUUGCUGCCACUAGCUUCACCGGUUACCACAACUGCUACAACUAAAUUCACCUCCACAUUCACUGUCACCAAGUUUUUGGUGGUAUUGACUAUAUUGUUUUAAAUAAUUUAAUUUAAAAAGCUUAAAACAAAACUAUAUCUUGAGAAAAGGUUGAUUGUUUUACUUGAUUGCUUCUGAAAUUAACCCAGAAAUAUAGAAUGGAUAUAUAACCCGAAUGCUUUUAAAUCUGAAUCUAAUCCGAAUUAAUCCGAAUUUUCGAUCCAAUCCGAUCCGAAUUAUAUUCGGAUCGGAUUGGAUCGGGUUAAUAAUUCGGAUUGAGUUCGGAUGAUUUUUUCCCCAACCCGAUUGAUCCGAAAUUGAUCAAAUCAACCCGAACCCAAUCCGAAUCCGAUUUUGCCCACCCCUACUUAUGAGUGAUCAAAGAAAUUGAAAAACGAGCUCACAUGCUUCGCCGUGUAUUUAAUCAUGGCUUUCUUAUAAGUCAAUGACUUCUUUAAUAUAGUGUUUACUUUUUGGAGUGAGAGUGAGGAGUGUGGAUUCCUCUUACUCCAGUGUUUACUUACAAUUUUCAAAGGGGAAGUGAGAAUUCCACUCCGUGGAUCCCACCUAAUUUUGGAGUGGGGGAGUGAGAUUCCCACUCCCAUGGAGGAAGGUGGGAGUGGAAAUUCACUCGCCUCUCUUCCUUUUUCACCCUUAUAUUUAAUAAAAUAAAAUAAAUAAUAUCAUAUUUAUUUAACUUAUAUUAUUAUUUUAUUUUAUAAAUUACAUUUAUUAAAAAUAAUAAUAUUAAACAUAUUUAUUUUAUUAAAUUUAAUAAAAUAAGUAAAAUCAUAUUUAUUUAAAUAAUAAUAUUUUAUUAUUUUAUAAAUUAAAUUUAUUAAAAAUAAUAAUAUUAAACAUAUUUAAAAUAAUAUUAAUUUUUUGGUUAAAAAUAAUAAUUUACAUUGAUUCUAAGUUAAAAUUACUUAAAAAUAAUAUCAUUAUAUUCAUAAAGAAUUAAUAAUAUUACUAUAUUCUAUUUUUAUUUGAAAAUAUAAUAUUAUUAUACUUAUUUAAAAAUAAUACUAUUAUAUUUAUUUAAUAUUAGUAAUUAAUAAUAAUAAAUAUUUUAUUCUAAAAAAAUUAAUUUUGUACUAUAUUAUCAAUAAUAAUGUUUCAUUUGUAUUGUUGUUAUUAAUAAUUUUUUAUUUAUAUAAUUAAAAUUAAAAUUAAUAAAAUAAUUGUGAUUUACAUAGUUAAGAAUAUUAAUAAUUAUUAUUAAUUUAAAAAUAUAAUUUUUAUUAAUUUUGUAAUUAAUAACUAUAAUUCUUUAAGAGUAAAGCUGUAAUUUAAAAUCAUUACUCACAAUCUAAGACAAUGUAAACAAAUAAAUUGGAUUCUGAUUUCAAUUCCAUACUUCCAUUUCAGUGUAAGUAAACAACAUACUUCGACUCCCACUCCACACUCCUAAUCCCAGGAUUCUCACUUCUCACGAUUCUCACUCCAACGCAAAAUGUAAACGCUACCUAAAUGCUUUCAAAUAUCUUGUUAACCAGAAAUCAAUUUAACAAAAACAAUUACCGUGUAUAUUAUUAACGAAAAGGCUUUGAUUCCGUUGGCUUGGGUGUAAAUAAAUCGACUUUAUCAAGAACAGACAUCUCAGCAACUACAUAAUAAUAUAUGUAAGCUUUUGUUAAUUGACUGCAUUAAAUCAUUAAAUCAAAAGCCUUACAAAGCAUCUACAAUAAAAAGAUGGCACAUCCUCCAUCCAAACGACAAAAACAUGGACUCGCAACGCAAUUCUUGCUAAUUAAUUAAUAGGUAGUCAUAUUCCUCCGAGCAACAAAAUGAACAUCAAAUUGUUGAUGAGGCACCAUAUGCACAAAAUGUUGAUAUUGUUUAAUGUUUAAUAUUAUGGGAAAGUUUUAAUAGAUCUUCAUUUCCCUUACAUAUUGUGAGCUUAUAACCAAAAAUGGGACUAUAUGGUUGUGUGACAAACAAAAAGGGAAAUUUUUUACUAUUCGGCUAAAUUUUAAUGUCAAUAAUAUAGGAUCUGAAUUCACUUUAAUAUGAUAUCGACAUGUGUAGAAAAUUCCUUAAGUAAAUAGAUUUUGCAUAAAAGGUAUCGACCCAGAGUCAGAGGAAAAUUAAAUAGAAUGUCUUUUAAUACAACAAUCACUGGUGACCCUGUUUGGGCAUAGUUUGAGAGUACUAAAAUAUCUACUGCCAACUCUAUUCUAGUUGAAAGGCUAUCAAGGCAAAUUGGUCGCAUUGUUGAUGAUGAGGAAAUAGAGGUUGGAUUCAAGAAGAAGAAGAUUAUGGUAGUAAUGUUCUUGAAGGUCGAGAGAUGGAGAGAUUGAGAAAUAAUAGUGCAGCAAGUUUAAUGAGUGGAUAAUAUUAUGGUCAUAUGUUUUUUUUUUUUACACACAUGUAUAUAAUAUUAUAUUUCUAUGAACUAGUUUGAUUACAAUGAUUUUAUGUACAUAAAAGUUUAUAUAAAGAUUAAAUUUUUGCAUUUUCUUUUUUGCACUUAAUUUAUUAAUCAAACUAAUGAUAUGUUAGUAUUUGUUAUAUCACGAACUACAUAACAAAUUUUUUAGUUAAAAAGAUAUUGAAGUUAAUUUUAUUGCAAAUUAAAAUAGUUAAUAAAAAAUUAUUUAAAUAUGUAAUAAAGAAAAUAGAAUAUGCUCUUAAAAAAUCUUGUAAAUAAAAAAAGAUUUAAAUAAUAAUAUUCUAAAUAAAUUACAAACAAGUAAACAAGUACAUUUUUGUCAUUGUACAUGAACAUUUUACACUUUUAAUUUUCAUUUACCAGAUUUGUAUAGUAAACCGUUUAAAAAUUGAUUGUCAAAUAAUCAUCAUUUACCAAACACCCUAAUAGAUUAUUUGUAAAAUUAUUUUUUUGUUCAGAAUCAAGGUAGAAAUUAAUUCUUGGAAAGUAAAGGAAAUCUCAAACAUACCCUCAAUCAACCAUGGGAAGUUAUUUAAGUUGUAGUAUCUAAUAAGUUCUAUUAAUAGUGAGCGCACAUAUCAAAUAUAUAAAAAUAAGUAUUUUAGUUAUUAUCCACCUGUUCCCUUGAAAUCAAUCUCAGUUUUUUUUUUCUUUUACCUAAAAUUCCAAGAAAAAUAUAUAAAAGAAGAAGAACUUUUUUUUGGGGGGGGGGGGGGGGGGGGGGGGGCGGGGAUUGGGGUGGGGGAGGGGGGAGCUCCUCUGUUUUCAUUCCAUUGUUUUGAAAUUAUCUAUCAUCAGUAUAAAGUUAUACUUUUGAAUCAAUAUGCUUUGUGACUCGAUAAUUUAGCAUAAUAAAAAAAGAAAAACACACUUACUCACAUCCCGAUUGAAUCUUAUCUCUAAGGAUAAGUAAAAAAUUAUUGUUCCUCUUUUUCUUUUACGGUUUGUUUACGAAAAGAAAACACUCACACCUUCAAGAUAUUUAUAAGUAGAACACUUAAGUUUUAAGAAUAAUACACCCUAAUUUGAAAAAAAAUGAAUACAUGUAUCAUAUUUUAUGUUUUUUUUUUAAAAAAAUUAUUUGAUGACAUUAUGAGACUCUAUAUGCCAAGAUCUAUGUGAUGGUGAGAAUGGUUUCAUAAAAGAAGCAAUAGUAUAACCGCACACAUGGCAUUGUUUGUAAUGACUAAAAUUAGAAGAGAGUCUAUGUAUCUACUCCUGAAACAUUAAGAAUUUAACUAUUUAUUAAUUAAAUCAAAAUUUCAAGAUCAUAGUGUCGUUUUACAUAAAGAACCCAAAUACUAAAUCUAGCUAAUAAAGGAGAACGGUUUAGAUUAGUUGCUUGGACUUCCUUGUCUCGGGGCUGUGUGGUCAAGCCUGUCCAUCAGGCGGAUUCAGAUUUUGAAAGUUAUCUGAAUCUUCUUCUCUAUGUAAGCCUAUACAAUGAUUUUGUGAAAGACAUAUGCAAAAACAGUACCAGUAAGCAUAUUUAUUUAUCAAAGAUGUCAAGCUCUGAUGCUCAGAUAUGGAUAUCAAAGAGAGAGAUUGAAAAAGAGAGAGAGAGAGAGAGGAUAAUCAGGGACUCGUCUGUUAUCAUUCCCCUGUUUUUCAGUUUGGUGAUUGGAAGUAACAUUAUUUGCGUGUACUCUUUAUUUAAUUUAUUUUUCAAUUUUUUAAAAAUUAAUUAUUGUUCUUCUCAAAGCGUUUAGUAAAUUAUAUGAUAAUCUGAUCAAAUCUCUAACAUUAAUGUCCGCAUAAUCUAGUAAUGAAACUUAUAAUUUUAUAAUAAUCAAAUUGAAGAUUUCUUCACGCUGUUUUGUAUGAUGACGAGUUUUUAUUUUUCUGUUAAACAUAAGAUCAUUUUCUAAUAAUGUCCAUCUGGAAUUAGUAAUAACGAAGCAUCAUUUGUGGACAGAACAAUUGAAAUAUCAAGUCACUAUUGAUCCCACUUUGAUGAUUGCACUUUAGUUUCUUUCUAAAAUGUCAUUCUUCAUUCAAGCUUUUACUUUAUCUUUUAUCAGGUAUCUUACAAAGCUUUUCCCUCCUAAUAAGCUCUAAUAAACCAAUGUGCUUUUCAAUUUCGCAGGAUACAAGUAACGUAUAUGCCAAAAUUAUUCAAGCACAACAAGUAUUUAUUCGUCGAAAACUUCAACUUAAUUAUUUCAUUAGAAAAUAUGAAACGCAGAGCCAUAAACUAGUGUUUUCUUCAACUUACUUGGGUUAAAUAAAAUUUUUUCAGUAUUUUUCCCGAUCCAUUUCUUGUAUCUCACUGCAUGCUUUAUUAAAGCUUCGUCUUUGUUCUUGAUUGUGAACUUCAAGAUUAAAUCUUAAAAAUCGGGUAUAAAAGGGGUGCUUGAUUAAGUCUUCUUCUUUUGCAAUUCAUUGUUACGGCUCUUUUCAGCUUUUUACUCACAAAUUCCUCUGACGUUAACAGUGAUCUAUCGCUCACUAAAAUUGUUCUUCAUAAUUUCUUUCAAUACCAGUUCUUAAUAUUCAAGGCGAAUAGAGAGCUCAUCAACUCUCUGAUCCCAAAUAAUUAAAGAGGUACACAUGCUCCUAAAUCCUCUAAUAAUUUCUUUUAACAGCAGUUCUUAUUUAAUUUAAUUUCCGUCUAUUUUCCAAGAAAAAUUUCUCCGGUUUGUCUUAAUCUUAUCAUUUAUUUUGCUUGAGUUGUAAGUUAUUGUUCAUUUGUAAGGUCUGUGUUCUUAUUACUAGCUUUGGUUAAUUUGAAUCUAUCUUCCCCAAUAAAAAAAAAAAAGAAGUUUUUAAAAAAAGCGCGGGUUUUUAUUCGGACCCUUAAAACCUCUCUGUUAAUAGCAAAGAAAGACUCUAAUCCUCGAGCCAGGGGGAGUAAAAAAAGAACAAAGAAUUCUCUGUUUAAGUAUCAAUUGUCUCAAGAUCAACAUUGUUUUUUUUCUUUUUCUUUUUUUUGUUAAUUUGUUUGUUAUUUUAUUAGAUUUGCUUUUAAUCUAAUUGUGCUUGAGGAUUGAAGAUGAGUGAGAAAUACCCUUUUUUUCUGAAGCAACCUACAAAUUUUAGAAUAGGGUAAGAGUAUUAGAGAUUCAAUUAAUCAAAAAAAGUUAUUUACAUUCGUCAUUUGCAAAAAUGUUUGCAUUAGAAUUUUUCUAGCAUUCAAGAGCAUUACAUAUCAUCAUGUCACAAAAUAGCCUGAAAAACAAGAUAAAUCAAUUAGAGCAACUUGCUCUUUAUUGAAUUUUUUUUUUUUUUGUUUGGUUUGCCCGAAAUCCCAGGGAAAAUAUUAUAUAAGAACAAGAGUUAAGAUCAAAAAAAUGUAAAACAAGUUUCCUCUGUUUUCGUCCCCCCCCCCCCCCCCCCCCGGUUUGAUGAUUGAAAUUUUUUUUAUCUAAAUUUUAUGAUUUUCCGUUGGGGUUUUAUUAAAUAAAAAAUAAUUAGAAAAUGUAAUUCUAGAUUUACCCUUGUGCAUCGAGUGAUUAUUAUUAUGUUCUCUUAAGAUUUGAUAGUGCAAUUUUGUGUGAUGUGAAUUUCAUGUUUCUGUUAAUCAAUACAAACACAAUUUGUAAGUAAUGGCCAUGUGGAACUUAAUUAUAACCAAGCAUCAUUUGUGGAAAGAACAAAUGAAAUAACAAAAAAGCAGCGUUGGCAAUACAAUAUCAAACUUUAUUUAUUUAUUUAUUUUUGUUUUUGUUCUUGAAUAUGCAUUAAUCAAAUCAUAUAUUGUUGAUCUUACUUUGAUGAUUUGCUGUUCAGUUUCUCUCUCAAAUGAUUUUUGUGUGUUUCCGGUAUCUGCUUUUAUGAAAGAAGCCCUAAAGUGCAUGUGGAUUUUUAAAAAAAGAUUGCAUAUAAUUAUCCUAUACGUGCGUAAACAGGGCAACAAUAACCAAAUACAUGAUAUAAAAAAGGGGUGCUUGAUUAAUGCUUUUUCUUCUGCAAGUCAAUGUUAUUAUUCUCAUCAACCCUUUUCUUACACAUUCCUCGGCAGUUACCGGUGAUCUUUUUGCUCUUUGAGGUUGUUCUUAAAUAUUCAAGGCCAAAUAGAGAAUCUCACCAACUCUCUAAUCCCAGAUAAUUAAAGAGGUGCACAUUUUCCAAAUCCUCUAAUGUGUGUGUUUGUGUAUAGUAGAUCUUUGAUCUUGACAUCUGUUCUUUCAUAAUUUCCAUCUAUUUUCCAAGAAAAAAAAUUUCUCUGGUUUGUUUUAAUAUUGAAUUUACUUUGCAUGAGUUUUAAGUUAUUGUUCAUUGUUAAAGCCUGUGCUCUUAUUAUUUCGUUUGGUUAACUUGCAUUCUUCCCCCCCCCCCCCCCCCCCCCCCCCCCCCCCCCCCCCCCCCCAAAAAAAGAAAAAAGAAAAAAGAAAAAGAAAGUUUUUAAAAAGAUUAUAGGUUUCUACUCAGACCCUUGAAACCUUUUAGCUUUCCGGUAAUACCAAAAUCUCUAAUCCUCCAACAAAUGAAAGCUAGGAAAAAAAUGUCCUAAAGUUUAAUAUCUGUUGCCUUUGUAUCAAUAUUGCCAGUUUGUUGUCUUUUAUUAUAUUGCUUGUUUGUCAUUUUAUUUGAUUUACUUUAUAUCUAAGUUUACUUGAAGAUUAAAUAUCAGUAGGAAAAGCCCUUUUUCUAAAGCAACAUACAGAUUUUAGAAUAGGGCUCAGCCACAUGAAAAUGUUUACAUUGUAGUAUCUCAUAUCAAUAAUCUAAAAACAGCCAAUCCAACAAGUUCAAAUUCAGUCAAAUCUAAAAAUGAUUGCUUUUAAGGAGUACAUGAUAGCUAUUAAAAAGAUCUUUUAGGCAGAAUUGAAAUGCAGUCAAUCGUAAAUCAACCAAUCCAACGAGUUCAAGUACAGAGUCAAUUGAACAAAUUCAUCACUUGCAGAAUUAAGCUUAUCUUCCGAAAUUGAGUUGUUUCCAUUAGAAAUUUUCCCAUAGUCACGAGCACUAUCAUCAAAACAAGAUUAUUUGUAUAGGAACAAGAGUUAAGGAAAAAAAAAAAAAGGUAAAACAAGAUUCCUCUGUUUUCAUUCCCAUUUUUUUUCCUUGGUGAUUGAAAAAUUUUAUCUCUAAAUUUUUAUAAUUUUCCAUUAAGAUUUAUAUUUAAAUAAAGAAUUAAAAAAAUCUAAUUUUAAAUUUAUGCAUUGAAUGAUUAUUAUUAAAUUCCCUUAAAAUUGGUUACAAUAUCAAUUAAAUAACGCAUAGAGUUAUUGAUCACUUUGUUAAAAAUGAUCAUGUGUUCUAUUUAUAUAAUAAAACAAAAGAUGGGGUCACACUUAAGUCUUGUUCUUUUACAAUUCAUUUGUAUUACUCACUCUCAUGAACUCUUUACUUACAUUCGUCUGCAGUUAAUAUUCAUCUUCUGGUCGUUCUUAUAUAUUCAAGGCCAGCAGUGAAGGUCAUUAACUCUUUAAUAAUUAAAUAGGUACAAUUGUCCAAGAAAAAAUAGCCCUUGUUUGUUUUAAUCUUGUCAUUUAAUUUUCUACGUACUGUUCAUUGUUAACUUCUGUGUUCUUAUGUAAUAUUAGCAAUGGUUAAUCUGCAUCCAUCUUACAAUUUUUUUUUUAAAUUGUUGGUUUUCCAUUCAGGCCCUUGAAACCUUUUUUUAAAAAGUUGUUGGUUGUCAUUUCUUUCUCCGUCUUUCCCCUAGUUCAUUUUAAUUUAUUUGAAUCUAAUUUUUCCAACAGCUAAUAUAUAUAUAUAUAUAUGUAUGUAUGUAUGUAUGAAAGCAACAGGCUAGGCAAUGGCUGCAGACCUGGUUUCCACUACUUUUUCCGGCAUUGUAACAGAAGGUGCAAAGGCAUUGUUCGAACCGAUUAUGCGGCAGAUCUCUUAUGUGUUCAAGUACCAGAGCUACAUAGCUGAGCUAAAAGUUCAAGUGAAGGAGCUAGAAUAUAAAAGAGAAAGGGUGGGAAUACCCGUUCGUGAGGCUACUCAACAAAGAGAUGAGAUUUACAAGGAUGUUGCAGACUGGCUUAAUAACGUUGAUGAAUUCAUCAGUGAAGGGGUUGCAAAAUCCAUCAUUGAUGAUGAAGAUAGAGCUAAGAAGUCCUGCUUCAAAGGAUUUUGCCCCAACUUGAUUUCUCGUUAUAAACUUAGUAAACAAGCAGCAAAGGCCGCAGAAGCUGCCGCUAGUCUCGUGGGAAAAGGCAACUUCUCUAGUGUUUCCCACCGUCCUGCUCCAGAGAGUACAGAACAUAUGCAAGCGAAAGAUUUCGAGGCCUUUGAUUCAAGAAUGAAAUUAUUUCAAGAUGUUGUGGAGGCAUUGAGGAAUGAUAAGCUCAACAUAAUUGGGGUCCACGGUAUGGGCGGCGUGGGUAAAACCACGCUAGUCAAGCAAAUUGCAAAGCAAGUUAUGGAAGAUAAGGUGUUCGAUAAGGUCGUUAUGGCUGAGGUAACAGAGAACCCAGAUGUUCAGAAAAUUCAAGACAAGCUCGCUUCCGAUUUAGACUUGAACUUUGACUUGAAUGAUAGCAAACCCCACAGAGCAAAACAACUUUGUCAAAGAUUGACGAAAGAGAAGCGAGUCCUCAUUAUAUUAGAUAAUAUUUGGAAAAAACUUGGGUUGGAAGAAAUUGGAAUUCCUUUUGGGGAUGUUGAUGAGAAAGAUAGAAAGCAAGAUCUAAGGAGACGCAUGAUAAUAUUGACGUCUAGAAGUAAACAUUUAUUGACCAAUGACAUGAAUUCUCAGAAGAUUUUCCUAAUUGAAGUUUUAUCAAAGGAAGAAGCAUUGCAAUUUUUUGAAAAGAUCGUGGGCAAUUCCGCAAAAGCAUCUGCUUUUCAACCUUUAGCAGAUGAGAUUGUUGGAAAAUGUGGAGGAUUGCCUGUUGCACUGAGUACAGUUGCAAAUGCUCUGAAAAAUAAGAAGCUUCCCGUUUGGAAGGAUGCGUUGACUCAGCUGCGAAAUUCUAAUCCAAGAGAAAUUCAUGGAAUGGAUGCAAAUGUCUGCUCUUCCAUAGAAUUGAGUUACAACUUCUUGGAAAGUGAUGAAGCAAAAUCUUUGUUCCUUCUUUGUACUCUAUUUGGUGAAGGUACUCCUAUACAAGUUGCUUCCUUGUUGAGAUAUGGUAAGGGUUUGUUUAAAAAUGUUCGCACAUUGGAAAAUGCAAGGAAUAGAGUGGACGCAUUGAUCGACAAUCUCAAAGCUUCAUGCUUAUUGUUGGACGGCGAUGCUGAAGAUGAAGUUAAAAUGCAUGACGUCAUUCAUGUUGUUGCCGUAUCAAUUGCCUCAGAGAAGCUCAUGUUUAGUAUCCCAAAUGUUACCAACUUGAAGGAAGAGAUAGAAAAGAUCAUACAGAAAGGUGCAAUUGCUAUUUCUAUACCUUAUGGAGAUAUUCAAGAGCUUCCCGAAAGGUUGGAAUGUCCCCAACUCAAGUUAUUACUGUUGCUUGCAAAUGGUGAUAGCUAUUUGGAAAUUUCACACCUCUUUUUUGAAGGGACGGAAGAUCUCAAAGUUUUAAGUCUUAGCGGAAUUCAUUUCUCUUCAUUAUCUUCAUCACUUGGUCACCUCAUUAACCUUCAAACAUUGUGUUUAGACUGGUGCCAACUAGAAGAUGUAGCGGCAAUUGGACAGCUAAAGAAAUUAGAGAUUCUUAGCUUUCGAUAUUCCGACAUUAAGCAGUUGCCACUUGAAAUUGGUCAAUUGGCGCAGUUACAAUUGCUAGAUUUGAGCAAUUGUAGCAGCCUUGUAGUGAUAGCACCAAAUGUCAUAUCAAAAUUUUCUCGAUUGGAAGAACUAUAUAUGGGUGACAGCUUUCCGCAGUGGGAUAAGGUUGAAGGAGGAAGUAACGCCAGUCUUGCUGAAUUGAAGGGGCUGUCAAAGCUAACUACUUUGGAGAUACAAGUUCAGGAUGCCCAAAUGCUGCCGCAGGAUUUGGUCUUUGUCGAAUUGCCAAGAUAUAGGAUAUGUAUAGGAGAAGCGUGGGGCAUCUGGCGCGCUAAUUCUGAAACAUCAAGAUUGGUGCAGCUCCAUGGGUUAGAAAAUGUUAGCACUCUUUUGGAGAAUUAUGGGAUGAAAAUGUUGCUGAAGUUAACUGAAGAUAUCCGUCUAGAGGAACUGACGGGUGUUCAGAAUGUUGUUCAUGAAUUAGAUGAUGGGGAAGGUUUUCCACGAUUGAAGCAUCUUUGGGUAGAAAGGUGUUCUGAGAUUUUACACAUUGUCGGUUCAGUUGGACGGGUUCAUCGCAAAGUCUUCCCCUUGCUGGAGUCAUUGUCUCUCUAUAAAUUGAUCAAUUUGGAGGCCAUAUGCCACAGCCAACUCAGAGAAGAUCAAUUUUUCAGCAACUUAAAGAUUAUAGAAGUAGAAUCCUGUGAUAAAUUGAAGCAUCUUUUCUCAUUUUCCAUAGCCAGAAACCUACUGCGGCUUCAAAAGGUCAAAGUGGCUUCCUGCAAUAAACUGGAAAUGACUGUUGGUAAGUGUUGAAAUUAAGUGUUGGUGGAUUUAUGGACUUCGCCUCAAUUAUUUUGAAAAAAAAAAGACAACGACAAAGAUUAAUUAUGUAUAUUGUUUUUGUUUGUUUACAGGACCCGACAGGGAGAAACCAACAACUUCUUUGGGAUUCAACGAAAUCAUUGCUGAUGAUGAUACUGCUCCAAAGGUGAUAAUUUUCUGUUCAAUAAUUAAUUGAUUAAUUUAUUAUCACGAUUAAUCUUCGAUCAUCAACAGAAUAUUAUACUAGACGGUUGUACUUGAAGGAACAAAAAUGUACGGCUUUUCUUUGCAGGUUCUUCUUCCGAGCUUAGAGGAAUUGAAUCUCACGGAAUUAAGAAACAUCAAAAAAUUAUGGGCCGAUCAUAAUCAAGGAAUGUACUGUUGUCAAAAUUUAACAAAGCUGUACGUGAGAAGUUGUGAUCGUAUGAAGUAUCUGUUUUCGUAUUCUAUGGUUAAUAGUCUUUUGCAACUCCAACAUCUUGAAAUAUGGUCUUGUGAGUCAAUGGAAGGGGUAGUCGACACCACGGGGUGGUCAGAAAGAGAUGAAGGAAAGUUGAUUGAAUUAAAGGUUUUUCCUAAACUACACUCCCUGCAGCUCUAUUGGCUUACAGAACUGACAAGCUUCGCCAAUACAGGACAUAUUCAUUCAGAUUUAGUUGUUGAAUUCCCUUCUUUGCUAAACCUCGAGAUUGGUAAUUGCAGUAAUAUGUUAAGAUUCAUCUCUACGAGCUCACCAGAAGACACCAAUCAUUCUGAAAUGCAACCUCCUCCUCUCUUUGACGAAAAGGUUUUUUUUUUAAUAAAUAAAAUUAAUUUUAGUCACAAUACUUAAUUUGUCUUUUCCUUGAGUCUUCAAAUUUAGUUAAUAUCCGCCUCUAAUUUAGUUAUCAAUUGAUUAUGCCAUUAAUUGAUUAAUUAGUUAUUUAAUCUUUAACUUCCAGGUACGACUUCCUAGGUUGGAGGUAUUAGAUAUUAGCUGGAUGAAUAAUUUGAGAAAAAUAUGGCACCACCAGCUUCCUUCGGAGUCUUUCAGCAAAUUGAAGAAUUUGGAGAUAUAUAAGUGUCAUAACCUAAUGAAUAUUUUUCCUCCAUUGGUAAGGUCGUUGUAUUCAUUUCGAAUCUUUUUUUUUUUAAAUUACAUCCAACAAUAUUUUAACCAUUUUUGGGUUUACAAAUGAUAUUCAGCCACUGAUUAUUUAUUUCAAGUAUUGUAUUUCGAACCACCACUCUCAAAUCUACAUUUUAAGUCCAUUUUUUAGGUUCGCCAGCAUUAGAAUCAACAAUAUAAUUUUUUUAAUCACGAUUCAACAUCAUAAUAUAAUUCAAUUUAAUUGUUUCUGCUCAUAUCUUAAUAAGUACAAUUUUCAAAAAUUAAAGGAUAGUCACUCAUCUUAUAGGUUCACAAAUUCAUCUAUAUAUUUCUCUUUUCCUUAAUUCUUCACAUUUCGAUUGGAAAAAGAAAAAAAGAAAAGAAAAGUCUUCAAAUUUAAUUAAUAUCUCUUGUUUAGUUACGAACUGAUUAUGCCAUUAAUUAACCACAAAUUCACGAUUAUUUACAACUGAUCCUUGAUUGUAAAGAAAUUUCCUCGAGUCUGGAAGUACUUAAUAAAGAUCCACUUUAAUUUUGUUUCCAAAAUUAAAUAUACAUAAAAAAAAGGGACCAAGGGAAAAGGGAAAAAGCGGCAUUUUGGUUGAUUUUUUUUUCCCAAAAGGAAUAGUUGAAAUUUGCAAAUUUUGUUUAAAAACUGGCAUCAAGAUGCAAAAUAAGUCUAAAAUAUUUAGAAAUUGCCUUAAAUUCUUCGUACGUUCCUAAUACUAAAUAGUGUAAAUGCAUUUAAUAUCUUUGUUUAUCUGGCUUUUAUUUAUUUAUUUAUCUUGUUGCUUUUUUUGUUUAACAAAAAAUUAUCUUGUAGACAUUUCAUGGUUUGUUAUCUUUAUAAAACGUAUAAUUGUAUGAUUAAACAUACUUUGAACCUAGUUGAAUGAUAUUCUUACAUUUUUACUUUUUUAAUAUACACACACUUUUGCUUAUUUUCAGGUUGGAAUUCCUAGUAGUUUGGUGAAUCUUAAAGUAUCGAAGUGCCAAAAAAUAGAAGAAAUCGUAGGACAUGUUGGAGAAGAAGUGAAGGAGAAUCGUAUUGCUUUCAGCGAAUUAAAAGUUUUGAUACUUAAUUAUUUAUCAAGGCUUACCAGCUUUUGUUUGGAGAAUUACACUCUUGAAUUCCCAUCACUGGAACGAGUUUCUAUGAUACGUUGUCCAAAUAUGAAGACUUUUUCUCAGGGAAUCUUAUCCAUUCCAAAGCCAUGCAAAGUGCAAGUGACUGAAAAGGAAGAGGGUGAACUGCACCAUUGGGAAGGCAAUAACCUUAAUUCCAUUAUGCAAAAGUAUUACAAAGAAAUGGUAUGUGUUAAUCGAUUCACCCAAAUUGUUUAUGCAUCUCCCCUGCAAUUGCACAUUUAAGCAUAUACCCCGGUCUUGUAUAUAUAUUUUUAGAAGUUAAAACACAAAACAUGUAAGUUUAAUGUGUAUAUAUAUAAUGCCUUUCAAAAAAAAAAUUGUAUAUAUCCGGUGCAAUUGUUUUGGUUUGUGCAGAUUGGAUUCCGUGACAUAUGGUAUUUGCAACUCUCACAUUUUCCACGUUUGAAAGAAAUAUGGCAUGGCCAAGCACUGCCUGUCAGCUUCUUCAACAAUUUAGCACGGCUGGUGGUGGAUGACUGCACGAAUAUGUCGAGUGCUAUUCCUGCCAAUCUGCUACGAUGCUUGAACAAUUUGCGACGGCUGGAAGUGAGGAAUUGUGAUUCACUAGAAGAGGUGCUUCGUUUGGAAGAGCUAAAUGCUGACAAAGAACAUAUAGGCCCCAUGUUUCCUAAGCUUUCCAAUCUAAGGCUCAUUGAUCUUCCAAAACUCAAAAGAUUCUGCAACUUCACUGGGAAUAUAAUUGAACUGCCUGAGUUGAGAUAUCUAACUAUUGAGAAUUGCCCUGACAUGGAAACAUUCAUAUCCAAUUCUACAUCUGUAUUGCACAUGACAGCAGAUAAUAAGGAAGCUCAAAAAUUAAAAUCAGAAGAGAACCUCUUGGUAGCUAAUCAAAUACAACAUCUCUUCGAUAAAAAGGUAAUCAUUAUUAUUAUUUUUCCCUUCACUUUCAUUCGCAUAGAUGUAAUUUCAUUAGAAUCAAAUCAAAUUUAAUGACUUAUCUUUUUGCACGUCGUCUUAAUUUAUAUCUGAUUUAACAAUAUAAUUGUAGUUAUUAACUAACUUUAUAGUAUGAAUUAAAAAAAUGUCUCAAAUUAAUUAGAUGCCUAGUGACAGGAGGUGAUGAACUAUAUCGCAUAAAUUAUGCGUGUUAGAUCUUUGUUUUCCUAGCUAAUUCAUAUUGGAUUUAUGAUCAGAUUUCAUUUAUGUGUUUCAAAGGGUAAUCGAUUUGAUACUUAUAUUUGGGAUCCUACUGCAAAGCAUACUAAUUUGGAAAUAAAAUAUAAAAUGCCGUGAUUAAUCUUGUCCAUAAAAUAUGUAGGGGAAGACUGUAGAGAUUGGAUACAUAUUUUCAUUUACAACUUAAUUUUGUUGAUUUUCAGGUUGCAUUCCCUCAAUUGAUGAAGUUAAAGCUAUCUGGAUUACACAAAGUGCAGCAUCUCUGGAAGGAAAAUGCCGAAUCCAACAAAGUGUUUGCAAACUUGAAAAGUCUAGAAAUAUUUGAAUGUAGUAAGUUGCAGAAAUUAGUACCAGCUUUGUGGCAUUUGGAAAAUCUUGCGACUCUGGAAGUAUCGAAGUGUCAUGGGUUGAUAAAUUUAUUGACACUCUCAACAUCUGAAAGUCUAGUGAAUCUUGAAAGAAUGAAGAUAACUGAUUGCAAAAUGAUGGAAGAAAUUAUACAGUCGCAGGUUGGAGAAGAAGCGGAAGAUUGCAUUGUUUUCAGGAAAUUGGAGUACUUGGGAAUUGAUUGUUUGCCAAGCCUAACAAGCUUUAGUUUGGGUAAUUACGCUCUUGAGUUCCCGUCCUUGGCACACGUAGUUGUGAGACAAUGCCCAACGAUGAAGAUUUUCUCUCCAGGAGUCGUAGACGCACCAAAGCUAAACAAAGUGAAACCCACCGAAGAUGAAGAUGGUGAUGAUGAAGGAUGUUGGGAAGGCAACCUCAAUGAC
Molecule: long non-coding RNA, 22925 nt
Filed under: Citrus maxima (pomelo)
Lineage: Eukaryota; Viridiplantae; Streptophyta; Magnoliopsida; Sapindales; Rutaceae
Description: long non-coding RNA (CMAX_LNC001420)
Source: RNAcentral